AUCUGGGAAUUCCCCUUUAAGAAGUUACGUACGCGCCAUAAGCAUGAUGACGUCACUGACUCGUGGUUGCUAAGUGCGUUCGGCAACUACAUAGUUACAACAAAAACGUUCUUAUAAUUUCUCAAACUUUAUUCUUACUAUUUUAUUGGGCAUGUAUAAGUUGGCAAAAUACAUUUAUAGUUUUCUCAUAAUAUUAGAUCACUCCUGAAAUAUGAUAUUUUACUAAAGUAAAUCUGGGUUUUGUGCUUCGGACUUCUUCGGGCUUUUCCGGAAGUAAGUGGCCUACGUGCAGGAUUAAGACGUCCUGUUCCUUUUUCUUCGGACCAUGCCGUUGCAUGAUGUGAGCCAAAUUCACAUCAAAAACCAUCUUUUGCGAGCUAAAAUCUGAAGGCCCAUAUCUGAACAGCCCACCAACUGAAGUGAAGUGCUGUAUAGCUGCUUUUGGAGUCAUUUAAGGGAAAGAUUUGAAGACGUCGGGGGUUUUUAUAUUCCAUUGAAAUAUUGUAUCUCAACUGGAUCAUCAAUAAAUCAACCAAUCAACUAAUGACAGAAACCGAUGAUGAUUGUCCACGCUUGGUGAUUGCCUCCCAUCCUCCUUAACUGGUGGACGAGUCUCCCCCCUCUGAAUAAGACAGCAGGGCCGACCACUACAGAAAUA
Molecule: long non-coding RNA, 658 nt
Filed under: Patiria miniata (bat star)
Lineage: Eukaryota; Metazoa; Echinodermata; Asteroidea; Valvatida; Asterinidae
Description: uncharacterized LOC119738376
Source: RNAcentral